GAAUUUGGACCCUUUCCUGGACCAGCCUUAUGUGGUACAGUCUUCUCUCUGGCAAUGACGGGCAGGGUGGGGCGAGCCGCGGCUCCAGCCAGCCCGGCCAUGGCAGCGAGCUCUGUCGCUCAGCAGGCUGGCUGCAUUUUAUGCAUUGUCAACUUUCAAUAUGGAAGAGCAUCUGUAGUUGGAGGAACAAAUCCUGGACACCAACAGACACCAAAGGAAGAACAUGGGAAGACCCAGGGGAAGGCACCUUCUGCCAUCCAAGGAGAGAUUUCUCAGAGGACACUAGACCUGCCAACACCUUGACUUUGGAUUUCCAGUCUCUAGAAUGGUGACUACACCUCUCACCCCGGAUCCUCUUUUGGUCAACAAGCUGAGAUGGGGCUGAUCUCAGAGAGAGGUCCCAGGCUGGAGGUCCUGACCCCAGCCUCAUGGAGACCUGGACAAGUACACUACUGCCCCAGAAAAGCAGGAUGCCUGUGGGAUUACCCAAAACCCAAUUCCAUCAACUAACCAAGAAAU
Non-coding RNA from Ictidomys tridecemlineatus (thirteen-lined ground squirrel), 519 nucleotides. The record is from RefSeq and is a predicted model, not a curated record. NCBI's taxonomy places the organism in Eukaryota, Metazoa, Chordata, Mammalia, Rodentia, Sciuridae.